Molecule: ribosomal RNA, 1281 nt
Filed under: Boiga guangxiensis
Lineage: Eukaryota; Metazoa; Chordata; Lepidosauria; Squamata; Colubridae
Description: partial 16S ribosomal RNA
Rfam family: Bacterial large subunit ribosomal RNA
Source: RNAcentral
AACACAAACAUAUUAAUCAUAUCAAAACAAAACAUUUGACCCAUUCAGUAGAUGUGAUCGAACAAUACAACUACACAGUACCGCAAGGGAACAUUAAACAGCAAAAAAUAGCAAAGAUAAACCCCUGUACCUUUUGCAUCAUGGUCUAGCAAGUAACCAAAGGCAAGAAGAAUCACAGCCACAACCCCGAAACCAGAUGAGCUACUUUAAAGCAGCCUACUGGGCACACCCUUCUCUGUAGCAAAAGAGUGGGAAGACUUAAAAGUAGAAGUGAAACGCCUAACGAAUCUGGAGAUAGCUGGCUACCUAAAAAAGAAUUUAAGUUCAACCUUAGAUCAAAAAAAUAAUAAUUAAUCACCUAAGGAAAAUCAAUAGGGGUACAGCCCUAUUGAAACAGGAUACAACCUGGAUUUGAGAGGAAUAAACAAACACCUAACCAGUAGGCCUUAAAGCAGCCACCUAACAAAAUAUCGUUAAAGAAUUAACCCAAAAAUACCAACAUCCAUUAAAAACUCCAAACCAACUAAAGGUAAGUCUAUAAACAUAGACACUAUUAUGCUAGAACUAAUAAUAAGACAACCUCUCUUCAAUGCACCCAUCCACUAGAACGGAUAUACCACUAGUCAUUAACAGACCACAAUAGGCAUAAAGAAACCAAUAUACAACUAAAACAGACUGUAACCCCGACACAGGAGCAUUAAAAAGAAAGAUUAAAUAUUAUAAAAGGAACUCGGCAAACAUAGGUCCCAACUGUUUAACAAAAACAUAACCUUUAGCCAAACAAAUAUUAAAGGCAACGCCUGCCCAGUGAAAAAUUAAACGGCCGCGGUAUCCUAACCGUGCAAAGGUAGCAUAAUCAUUUGUCUACUAAUUAUAGACCUGUAUGAAAGGCAAAAUGAGGGCCUAACUGUCUCUUAUAAUAAAUCAAUUAAACUGAUCUCCUAGUAAAAAAGCUAGAAUACCAACAUAAGACCAGAAGACCCUGUGAAGCUUAAACUAAACUAUUAACCCAAAUAAUAACUACUUUCGGUUGGGGCGACCUUGGAAAAAAAAAGAACUUCCAAACUAAAUUACUAAUAAUUAACCCAGGCUAACAAGCCAACUAACGACCCAGCACAGCUGAUAAAUGAACCAAGUUACUCCAGGGAUAACAGCGCAAUCUUCUUCAAGAGCCCAUAUCAAAAAGAAGGUUUACGACCUCGAUGUUGGAUCAGGACAUCCUAAUGGUGCAGCCGCUAUUAAGGGUUCGUUUGUUCAACGAUUAAUAGUCCUACGUGAUCU